Molecule: ribosomal RNA, 375 nt
Filed under: uncultured bacterium
Lineage: Bacteria
Description: bacterial SSU rRNA
Rfam family: Bacterial small subunit ribosomal RNA
Source: RNAcentral
UACGUAGGGGGCGAGCGUUGUCCGGAAUUAUUGGGCGUAAAGGGCGCGUAGGCGGCUGAUCAAGUCUGAUGUGAAAGUGCGGGGCUUAACUCCGUAAAGCAUUGGAAACUGGUCGGCUUGAGGACAGGAGAGGAAGGUGGAAUUCCACGUGUAGCGGUGAAAUGCGUAGAGAUGUGGAGGAACACCAGUGGCGAAGGCGACUUUCUGGACUGUAACUGACGCUGAGGCGCGAAAGCGUGGGGAGCGAACAGGAUUAGAUACCCUGGUAGUCCACGCCGUAAACGAUGAGUGCUAGGUGUAGAGGGUAUCGACCCCUUCUGUGCCGCAGUUAACACAAUAAGCACUCCGCCUGGGGAGUACGGCCGCAAGGUUGAA